This 466-nucleotide ribosomal RNA is filed under the name uncultured bacterium. RNAcentral describes it as "partial 16S ribosomal RNA". It matches the Rfam family "Bacterial small subunit ribosomal RNA", at positions 28 to 507 of the family's 1533-position model. The record is from RNAcentral.
GACGAACGCUGGCGGCGCGCCUAACACAUGCAAGUCGAACGAGCGAGAGAGAGCUUGCUUUCUCGAGCGAGUGGCGAACGGGUGAGUAACGCGUGAGGAACCUGCCUCAAAGAGGGGGACAACAGUUGGAAACGACUGCUAAUACCGCAUAAGCCCACGGCUCGGCAUCGAGCAGGGGGAAAAGGAGCAAUCCGCUUUGAGAUGGCCUCGCGUCCGAUUAGCUAGUUGGUGGGGUAACGGCCCACCAAGGCGACGAUCGGUAGCCGGACUGAGAGGUUGAACGGCCACAUUGGGACUGAGACACGGACCAGACUCCUACGGGAGGCAGCAGUGGGGAAUAUUGCACAAUGGGGGAAAACCUGAUGCAGCGGCGCCGCGUGGAGGAAGAAGGUCUUCGGAUUGUAAACUCCUGUUGUUGGGGAAGAUAAUGACGGUACCCAACAAGGAAGUGACGGCUAACUACGUG